UACAGCCAUAACACAUUGAAACACCAGUUCCCAUAUGAUCACCAAAGUUAAGCAAUGUCAAGCCUGUUCAGUACCUAGAUGUGUGACCACUUGGAAAUACCAGGUGCUGUAG
Molecule: non-coding RNA, 112 nt
Organism: Acanthosepion pharaonis
Lineage: Eukaryota; Metazoa; Mollusca; Cephalopoda; Sepiida; Sepiidae
Source: the annotation of a GenBank genome assembly